UCUAAUAUGGCAGAUAAGUGCAGUGGAUUUAAGCUUCACAUAUAAAGUUUAUUAACUUUUAUUAGA
RNAcentral lists this transfer RNA (66 nucleotides) under Blattella bisignata (double-striped cockroach). Its description in RNAcentral is "tRNA-Leu". The record is from RNAcentral. Lineage: Eukaryota; Metazoa; Arthropoda; Insecta; Blattodea; Blattellidae.